GACGAACGCUGGCGGCGUGCCUAACACAUGCAAGUCGAACGGAGAUACGAUUUCGGUUGUAUCUUAGUGGCGAACGGGUGAGUAACGCGUGAGCAACCUGACCUUUAGAGGGGGAUAACACUUGGAAACAGGUGCUAAUACCGCAUAAGACCACGACCUGACAUCAGGAUGAGGUCAAAGGAGCAAUCCGCUAAAGGAGGGGCUCGCGUCCCAUUAGAUAGAUGGCGGGGUAACGGCCCACCAUGUACGACGAUGGGUAGCCGAGCUGAGAGGCUGAUCGGCCACACUGGAACUGAGACACGGUCCAGACUCCUACGGGAGGCAGCAGUGGGGAAUAUUGGGCAAUGGGCGCAAGCCUGACCCAGCAACGCCGCGUGAGGGAAGAAGGCCUUCGGGUUGUAAACCUCUGUCCUUGUGACGAAACAAAUGACGGUAGACCAAGGAAGGAAGCCCCGGCGUAACUAACGUGCCAGCAGCCGCGGUAAU
RNAcentral lists this ribosomal RNA (486 nucleotides) under uncultured bacterium. RNAcentral describes it as "bacterial SSU rRNA". It matches the Rfam family "Bacterial small subunit ribosomal RNA", at positions 28 to 524 of the family's 1533-position model. The record is from RNAcentral.